AGUAUUAGUAUUUACUUUUUUUAUUUACACACCAGCCCGCGCGAGCGAAUUUAUGAUUUUUACUUUUUAGUAUCAUAUAUUUAGAUUUUGGGCGUCUAGUGUAUAACUAAUGAGUGAUGAUUGAUGUCUAGUGUUAACGUUAAAUUUUAAUAUCGGAUUUGACCGUUUUGAGACAACCCGUGAUUUUGUAUUUUUUAAUUAUUAUCAUAUGUAGAUAGUGGAAAGUAAAAGUAAUUAUUAUUUAUUAUUUAAUAUCUAUCGUGACCACAUUGUGAAAAGACGUUCGUUGAUCGAUAAUAAUAUUUUGUAAAUUGGCUUAAAAUUAAUCCGAACUUCGCGUUCCCUCUUAAACCCGUUUUAUCGUGUAUCGACAAUGCCGAAUAACCAGUUCAUGCACCCGAGAAAUAUAUACCGUACACCUCCCGCUUUCAAAGAGUUGUCGGUUAAAUAUCCAGAGUUCAAUAAAUAUGCGUCAACUGGUUUAAAUGGAAAAAUUGUUUUCGAUUUUAAAAAUCAGGAAGGUCUUAGAUUAUUGACUACUAUACUAUUGAAGAAAGACUUUGAUUUAGAUGUUGAUUUGCCAGUAGGUAGAUUAAUACCUACCAUUCCAUUACGACUAAACUAUUUAUUGUGGAUUGAAGAUCUGUUUAACUUGAACUACGACAAUACAAAAAAAAUCAAAGGAAUAGAUAUAGGUACAGGCUCAUCAUGCAUUUAUCCAUUAUUAGCAGCUAAACAAUUUCAGUGGUCCAUGGUUGGUACUGAUAUCAAUAAAGAAGCUGUUAAAAAUGCUAUUAAAAAUGUGGAAAAAAAUAAUUUACAAAAUUUAAUUCAAGUUCUUGAAGUAUCAGAAUGGGAAAGAUUAUUGCCAGUAGCAGUAGAUGAACAUUAUGACUUCUGUAUGUGUAACCCACCUUUUCAUAGUUAUUCAAAUUUAAAUUCAGAUGAUGAUGAAGCCGAUAGUUCAGUAGGAAUUACUUCUGAAAUGUAUACAAUAGGAGGAGAAGUUGAUUUUGUAAAAAAAAUGAUCAAGGAAAGUGAAAUAUUACAAAAUUCAAUAAGUAUUUAUACAACAAUGGUUGGUUAUAAAGCAUCAUUAGACCCUCUAAAAAAUGAACUGAAAGCUAUUGGAGCAUGUACAGUUGCAGAAGCUGGUUUCUAUCAAGGUCGGAAUGCUCGUUGGGGAAUUGCUUGGACAUUUCAGUCUGAUAUAAAAUUAAAGGAUUUUUUGCCUAAUAAAGAGUUUCAAAAGGAAAAGUUAAAACAACUUAGACCUCCCGUGUCUUUUAAAAUUCCAGAAACAUAUGACUCUACAACUGCUCUAACCAAACUAUCAGAACUUCUAGCUAGUCUUAAGUUAUCCAUAGCGACAUUAAAAUCAAAAAGUGAUGAAAAUGUCUUAUACCAAGCUGACAUUCAAGCAUAUAAAAAUACAUGGACUCAUCAAAGACGAAAGAGACGUAUGGAAAAAAGAUUAGCUGAUAUUAAACGUCAAAAAACAAAUGAUAAUUGCUUACACAUUGAAUUGGAUGAUGAAAAAGCUGAUCAGCAUUUAGAGACUACAGUAAAUGCAAAGCCAUUAUUUUCAGCUACUGUAGUUCUAAGAAAAACAGACAAUUCAAUUUGUAUAGAUAUGUUGCACAUGUAUGGCAAUAGAGACAAUUCAUAUCAAGUUUUUCAGUUCUUUAAGAAUAGAUUUAUAUAAUGGUUUCGUGUGACACAAAUUUAGGAAAACCAAAUCCAAGGCUAUCUGGCUGCGUGCUUGGUCGUUGAAAAUUCUCCCAAGAUGGAUCAGGCACAAAACUUUCAACUAUGUUACAUGGCUAUAAAAUGACAAAGGUUAGUUUCAUAAAUGUAUACAAUAUUUUUCAAUACACACCUUCUCACUUUGGUCAAAUAAUGUGAAAGACACAGAAUGUGAAAAUGACCAUUUCAGUAAAGCAUCAAAUUCACCUGGCAGUAUUUUUAUAUAAACAGAUACAUGUGUGUUUUCACCAGAUCCGUUGCCAUUCAAAAACACCGAUGCUUGCAACUUAUACCCAAAUUGGCUGGUAUAGAACGGCGAACUAAUGAGUUCUAGACCAUCACCACAUAAUUUGUGCCGACCCUCUUCAAGUUUUUCCAGUACAUCGCUGAUUUUCCAAAUUAGCGUACCUUUAAGUAAUAAAAUAUUUAUAAGCAAUUGAUAUUUAAAUUUAAUGUAUUGUUUAAAAAAUGUUAUGUACCAGACUGAUUAACAGCUAAGUUAUUUAUCACUUU
This is an RNA transcript of Rhopalosiphum padi (bird cherry-oat aphid), 2259 nucleotides long. Lineage: Eukaryota; Metazoa; Arthropoda; Insecta; Hemiptera; Aphididae. The record is from RefSeq and is a predicted model, not a curated record.